UCCUUAAGACGGGUGUUUUUUUAAUGAAUAAAGUGUGGUCUCCGUGGCCUUGUUUGUAUCCUAAAGGUGUCACGACCUUGGUAAUUAAAUCUCUCAAACCAUACAUAUUCGGAGAAUUAUUUCAACUUGCAAAUAAAGCUGGCAGCAACUUCAUAGCAUGAGACCUCUAUAAUUUCCUCCUUAAGCUUCCAUGUAAUUAGAAAGCAUAAAUUGCAGGAAGAGAUAACAUUGCCCGAAUUGUUUUCAUCUUUACAACCAGAGCGAAUAUCUCUAAGUAAUCCAUCCCAUAUGUUUAAGGUCUCUAAGUAAUCUAUCUCAUAGGUUUCAAGGAAACCCUUAGCAACCAACCUCACCUUGUCCCUCCUACUUGCCUUAUAUAUUUUACUAUACUACAUAUAUUCAUUUGCAACCAAUCAAUUUCUUUCCUUUUGUUUUGGCAAAGAAAUCAACUCGAAUGAAUGUUUUGUUCUUCUCCAAUGUCUUCAUUUCUCCAAGGAGAGGAAGCAAAAGCUAACAGUCUUCUUGAUUUGUUUCAGGAUGUUUUAUUACUUCAGAACCAGUUGGAGUUCAGACUUCAGAGAGCAUAGACACACACAUAAGUAGUCGAGAAUGAAGAAUAUAUCAACCUUUUUUCAGAUACAAUUAGAUAUCAUCUCUAGUUCAGGUUAAAAAAAUUUUCCAUGUACAAUUUGUGUACUUUCUCCAAGCAUGGACACCAUAUCUUCUAGUCCAAUUUGUGACGGAUCGGAAGAAUUUUGGUUAUAUAUGCAAA
This 772-nucleotide long non-coding RNA is filed under the name Glycine max (soybean). RNAcentral describes it as "long non-coding RNA (GMAX_LNC002695)". The record is from RNAcentral. Lineage: Eukaryota; Viridiplantae; Streptophyta; Magnoliopsida; Fabales; Fabaceae.